RNAcentral lists this ribosomal RNA (490 nucleotides) under uncultured bacterium. Its description in RNAcentral is "partial 16S ribosomal RNA". It matches the Rfam family "Bacterial small subunit ribosomal RNA", at positions 28 to 507 of the family's 1533-position model. The record is from RNAcentral.
GAUGAACGCUAGCGAUAGGCUUAACACAUGCAAGUCGAGGGGCAGCACGGGAUUAGCUUGCUAAUCUUGGUGGCGACCGGCGUAAGGGUGCGUAACGCGUAUGCAACUUGCCUGUCAGUGGGGGAUAACCCGGAGAAAUCCGGACUAAUACCGCAUACACUUUGGUUUCCGCAUGUGGACUUUAGGAACGAUUUAUUGCUGACAGAUAGGCAUGCGUUCCAUUAGAUAGUUGGUGAGGUAACGGCUCACCAAGUCGACGAUGGAUAGGGGAGCUGAGAGGCGUCACCCCGACACUGGAACUGAGACACGGUCCAGACUCCUACGGGAGGCAGCAGUGAGGAAUAUUGGUCAAUGAGCGAGAGCCUGAACCAGCCAAGUCGCGUGAAGGAAGACGGUCUUAUGGAUUGUAAACUUCUUUAGUAGGUGAGUACAAGCAGUUACGGGUAGCUGUAAGCAAGUAACCUAAGAAUAAGUAUCGGCUAACUCCGUG